RNAcentral lists this ribosomal RNA (418 nucleotides) under uncultured bacterium. RNAcentral describes it as "bacterial SSU rRNA". It matches the Rfam family "Bacterial small subunit ribosomal RNA", at positions 29 to 490 of the family's 1533-position model. The record is from RNAcentral.
AACGAACGCUGGCGGCAGGCCUAACACAUGCAAGUCGAACGCUCGUAGCAAUACGGGAGUGGCAGACGGGUGAGUAACACGUGGGAACCUUCCCUAUGGUUCGGAAUAGCUCAGGGAAACUUGGGGUAAUACCGGAUAAGCCCUUCGGGGGAAAGAUUUAUCGCCAUUGGAUGGGCCCGCGUCGGAUUAGCUAGUUGGUGAGGUAACGGCUCACCAAGGCAACGAUCCGUAGCUGGUCUGAGAGGAUGAUCAGCCACACUGGGACUGAGACACGGCCCAGACUCCUACGGGAGGCAGCAGUGGGGAAUAUUGGACAAUGGGCGCAAGCCUGAUCCAGCCAUGCCGCGUGAGUGACGAAGGUCUUCGGAUUGUAAAACUCUUUUGGCGGGGACGAUAAUGACGGUACCCGCAGAAUAAG